RNAcentral lists this ribosomal RNA (498 nucleotides) under uncultured bacterium. RNAcentral's name for it is "partial 16S ribosomal RNA". It matches the Rfam family "Bacterial small subunit ribosomal RNA", at positions 28 to 523 of the family's 1533-position model. The record is from RNAcentral.
GAUGAACGCUGGCGGCGUGCCUAAUACGUGCAAGUUGAACGCUUCACUUCGGUGAAGAGUGGCGAACGGGUGAGUAAUACAUAAGUAACCUGGCAUCUACAGGGGGAUAACUGAUGGAAACGUCAGCUAAGACCGCAUAGGUGUAGAGAUCGCAUGAACUCUAUAUGAAAAGUGCUACGGGACUGGUAGAUGAUGGACUUAUGGCGCAUUAGCUGGUUGGUAGGGUAACGGCCUACCAAGGCGACGAUGCGUAGCCGACCUGAGAGGGUGACCGGCCACACUGGGACUGAGACACGGCCCAGACUCCUACGGGAGGCAGCAGUAGGGAAUUUUCGGCAAUGGGGGAAACCCUGACCGAGCAACGCCGCGUGAAGGAAGAAGUAAUUCGUUAUGUAAACCUCUGUCAUAGAGGAAGAACGGUGGAUAUAGGGAAUGAUAUCCAAGUGACGGUACUCUAUAAGAAGGCCACGGCUAACUACGUGCCAGCCGCCGCCGUAA